GAUGAAGAACGUAGCGAAAUGCGACAAGUAAUGUGAAUUGCAGAAUUCAGUGAAUCAUCGAAUCUUUGAACGCACAUUGCGCCCCUUGGCAUUCCUUGGGGCAUGCCUGUUCGAGUGUCACUGCAAACCCACUCAUAAAUAUUAUGGUAUUGAUGGAAGUGAACGGAACCAAUCUAUGUGUUCAGGUCAUCCCAUCGAAAUGUAUAAGCAGGACAAUCAACCUGUGCAAUGGACUUAGUAACUGUCUUGAAGACAUAAACCAGUUUGUUGCUUGGUUUUGACUUAGCUUCCAUGGACCUCCAUCCAAGAUAAUAAACUCUGGGUUGACCUCGGAUCAGGUAGGGAUACCCACUGAACUUAAGCAUAUCAAUAAGCGGAGGA
RNAcentral lists this unclassified non-coding RNA (381 nucleotides) under soil metagenome. RNAcentral describes it as "partial contains 5.8S ribosomal RNA, internal transcribed spacer 2, and large subunit ribosomal RNA". The stretch from base 1 to 120 matches the Rfam family "5.8S ribosomal RNA", at positions 35 to 154 of the family's 154-position model. The record is from RNAcentral.